CCCACUCAUUCUGCUAAAUGGAUGUCCUAGAAUAGAGAAGUGGAAUCAAAUGAUCCAUCUUCAUUUUCCCAUAGGACACAUGGAAAGAAUGCUUCCUUGUCCUUGUAGCUCGGGGAAGAGAAGGCAUCCAUGCCGGACAUCGUUCUUUCUCGGCCCAUCAAGAACUCGGCAUCGAAGACUCAUUACUCUAGGGUACUUGAUGGAUUUUCUUUCCAGCCUAUGGUGAAGACUGAUUCCUUUGUUCGUUAUAUUACAUUGGUUUUCGCCCUAACCUACUUUGAUUUUCCAGACGAAGCUUUUUUAUUUUUCUAUUUCGCCUUUGCUUAUCUAACGGGAGCAAAAGGACUCCUAUCUUAACUCACCGUAGUUGAAGAAGGAAUGCUUGGUAAUGUUAAUGGAAGGCCCCAAACAUAUGUCAAAAGAGAAUCUCGAUAGAAUCAAUAAGAAAGCUCAUUGGAAUGAAACAUGGCAUCCAUCUUCAUCAACUUACAGUAAGCGCAGUGGAGAGAGUGGCUCUCGGGGAGCGGGCACUCAUGGAACGUAGCGAUCUCAAGAUACCUGACUUGCUAUCUCUUCAAGUCAAUCACGAUGAUGAGGACUUAAUCAUCUCUAUGUAUGGAUCAUCGUGUAAUCCAUGCCCCCUUGAGUUGUUAAAGUAAUUACAGAUGCAUGAGAUAACUACCUUGGUUGAUUGCUCAGAAUAAAGAACCAAUCUAUCUCUCCUAGGGGUAAUUAGAAAAAGGAAGCAUUGAUGAGUUCACUGCGUGUUGGUAGCGAGGAUAGAGAGAACAAGAAUGAACAGCCUUCCAUGAAUAGAACACAGGCAAACCUUUGUGGAUCUUCUUACAACUAGCGAAGAGGAAAAGGAAUGCUUGUUGAUUGGACUGAUGCGAGAUAGCUAGAUAGAGAAUGAAAACGCCUUAGAUGAACUACUAAAUAGAGGUCUUUCCCCGAAUUGAACUCAUAGAGAUGGCUAACAAAGGGUAUUGAUGUUAAUAUCAUUAGAAUGGAAUGGAGGGGAGGUGCUCUAACCACUAGAAUGAGAAUGGAGUCCUACUUUCCCUCGGCACCAAGCUACGAAGCCAAUUGAUCUAUCUUGGGAUGUUUUCCCGUAGAUGAAGAAUAGGAUGGAUCGGUCUAUCCCUACUUACUCAUUCUUUUUUGUUUGAAAUGAGCCUGCGACAUGCCUUCCACGUGCUAUACCCACUUGAUUGAAUGACUUUGCCC
RNAcentral lists this long non-coding RNA (1227 nucleotides) under Vigna radiata. Its description in RNAcentral is "long non-coding RNA (VRAD_LNC003486)". The record is from RNAcentral. Lineage: Eukaryota; Viridiplantae; Streptophyta; Magnoliopsida; Fabales; Fabaceae.